UACGGGGGGGGCAAGCGUUGUUCGGAAUUACUGGGCGUAAAGGGCUCGUAGGCGGCCAACUAAGUCGGAUGUGAAAUCCCCAGGCUUAACCUGGGAACUGCAUCCGAUACUGGAUGGCUUGAAUUCGGGAGAGGGAUGCAGAAUUCCAGAUGUAGCGGUGAAAUGCGUAGAUAUCGGGAGGAACAUCAGUGGCGAAGGCGGUCACCUGGACGAUAACUGACGCUGAGGCUCGAAAGCGUGGGGAGCAAACAGG
Molecule: ribosomal RNA, 253 nt
Filed under: uncultured bacterium
Lineage: Bacteria
Description: partial 16S ribosomal RNA
Rfam family: Bacterial small subunit ribosomal RNA
Source: RNAcentral